This 703-nucleotide ribosomal RNA is filed under the name Alteromonas sp. 35C5. RNAcentral's name for it is "bacterial SSU rRNA". It matches the Rfam family "Bacterial small subunit ribosomal RNA", at positions 202 to 895 of the family's 1533-position model. The record is from RNAcentral. Lineage: Bacteria; Pseudomonadati; Pseudomonadota; Gammaproteobacteria; Alteromonadales; Alteromonadaceae.
ACGGGGCUUCGGCUCCGGCGCAAAGAGAGGCCCAAGUGAGAUUAGCUAGUUGGUAAGGUAACGGCUUACCAAGGCGACGAUCUCUAGCUGUUCUGAGAGGAAGAUCAGCCACACUGGGACUGAGACACGGCCCAGACUCCUACGGGAGGCAGCAGUGGGGAAUAUUGCACAAUGGGGGAAACCCUGAUGCAGCCAUGCCGCGUGUGUGAAGAAGGCCUUCGGGUUGUAAAGCACUUUCAGUUGUGAGGAAAAGUUAGUAGUUAAUACCUGCUAGCCGUGACGUUAACAACAGAAGAAGCACCGGCUAACUCCGUGCCAGCAGCCGCGGUAAUACGGAGGGUGCGAGCGUUAAUCGGAAUUACUGGGCGUAAAGCGCACGCAGGCGGUUUGUUAAGCUAGAUGUGAAAGCCCCGGGCUCAACCUGGGAUGGUCAUUUAGAACUGGCAGACUAGAGUCUUGGAGAGGGGAGUGGAAUUCCAGGUGUAGCGGUGAAAUGCGUAGAUAUCUGGAGGAACAUCAGUGGCGAAGGCGACUCCCUGGCCAAAGACUGACGCUCAUGUGCGAAAGUGUGGGUAGCGAACAGGAUUAGAUACCCUGGUAGUCCACACCGUAAACGCUGUCUACUAGCUGUGUGUGCCUUUAAGGCGUGCGUAGCGAAGCUAACGCGCUAAGUAGACCGCCUGGGGAGUACGGCCGCAAGGUU